UGGGGAAUUUUGCACAAUGGGGGAAACCCUGAUGCAGCGACGCCGCGUGAUUUAGAAGGCCUUCGGGUUGUAAAAAUCUUUUUUAUGGGAUGAAAAUGACAGUACCAUAAGAAUAAGGUCCGGCUAAAUACGUGCCAGCAGCCGCGGUAAUACGUAUGGACCGAGCGUUGUCCGGAAUCAUUGGGCGUAAAGGGUACGUAGGCGGCCCAGUAAGUUAGAAGUGAAAUAAUAUAGCUCAACUAUAUAAAGCUUUUAAAACUGCUAGGCUUGAGAGAUGGAAGGGAAAGUGGAAUUCCUAGGGUAGCGGUGAAAUGCGUAGAUAUUAGGGGGAAGACCGGUGGCGAAGGCGACUUUCUGGACUUUUACUGACGCUCAGGUACGAAAGCGUGGGGAGCAAACAGG
RNAcentral lists this ribosomal RNA (402 nucleotides) under Verrucomicrobiota bacterium. Its description in RNAcentral is "Verrucomicrobia bacterium partial 16S ribosomal RNA". It matches the Rfam family "Bacterial small subunit ribosomal RNA", at positions 355 to 776 of the family's 1533-position model. The record is from RNAcentral. Lineage: Bacteria; Pseudomonadati; Verrucomicrobiota.